This 2757-nucleotide unclassified non-coding RNA is filed under the name Leishmania donovani. RNAcentral's name for it is "gene:LdHU3.10.0620(CDS-product:hypothetical_prote in)". Lineage: Eukaryota; Euglenozoa; Kinetoplastea; Trypanosomatida; Trypanosomatidae. The record is from RNAcentral.
CGUGUCCCACUGGACAAUGUGUGGCACGCGCACACCCGCGCAAGCACGGAGAGCGGCGCACACUCAGCACCAAGAAUUAGAGAAGAGACUUGACACACACUAAACGAAACGUCUGUGCAUAGAGUCCUUUGCUUUCGCGCAGCCUUCACAAUUUCAGCAGCAGCGGCACUGUUUUGUCUCUGUGUGUGUGAAUGUGUCUGACGGGGUGUUGUCAUGCGUCGUGUCUGCACUCCACCUCACGGUCUCGGCGAGGGUAUUCAGGAACCGGUACCCCACAAGAAAGCGAAUAGAAACGCCGUUGUUCCCCUCGAUGUAGUGACAUCGCCGCCACCGGCGCAGGCAGAAGGUCAAGAGCACUCAUCGCCGUCGUCAGUGAUGCUCUCCUGCAGCAGCAACGACGCAGACUUGUUCUGUUUUCCUCACCGCAAUGGAGAUGCAGCCCCCACAUCGCCACCAUCGCAACCGCCCUUGACGCAGGAGCGACUCCUGGCGCUGCAGCAAUCUGCGUCGGACCGCAAUCUCGUAGCAUUGGCACCUGCGACUACGACGGCACUGAACACCAGCGAACGACGUACGGGCACUACGGUGUUGGGUGCCACUCAUCUCGGUGGCGACACCGAUCAGGUCAUCAGGCAGCGCCAGGAGCGGGUGAUGUCGUGGUUAGCCGGUUCGUCUACAACCCCUAACCCCCCGCUAGACAAUGCGGACGAUGGCGCCAUCGACGCAGCACUUCGCGGCUCGGGAGUACCUGACGGGUCACACACACCUCCCCGGCUAGUGGUCGCAUCCGUUCUCGCUCCUGAUGUCGCCUCUGCGGAGCCCCUCUUGCCCUCUUAUGCAGGCUCUGCUGGCGUGGUUCUCCGCUCUCCGACUUGCAUCGAGCGAUCCUCGCAUUCGGCUGUGGUGCCGGUGUGGUGCGCGCACGACACCCGAGCGCAGGCAUGCUACUCUGCCGCCGAGAGAGUCGAGGAGGGCGACGACAAGACAUCAUCAGCUGCACGGAGCGCGCCUCUGCGACAGACAAGGUUGCUGGAGAGCAGCCGCAGUUGCAGCGGCGCGUGCUGCACGCCCCCUCGCUCGUCACCACACCCGUGGAGUCCGUCGGCGCUACACACGUGCGACGCACAGGGGGCACCGGUAACUGCGUCAGACUGGCCGACAGUUUCCAUCGCUCGAGACUCGCCGAGGCAUACGCCAACGCCUCUGGCCUCGGUGCUGUUGCCUUUCCCGACUUCUCCGACACCGCGGCGGCUGUCCGUUGUAUGCGAAUCGACGAAGGACUGCUUCGCCCCAUCCCCAGCUCUGUCAGGGGCCUUACGCGAUGCAAGGAAUCGAGUAGCACGGCGGGAGCCGCCGCUGGCUCUCUCCGUCCAGGAAGCUGUCACGGCCGCCUCCGCACCGCGCGCCACCAGCAGUCACGGCGACGGUGAAGACCCUACCGCUCUGCGGGUGUGCACGCUCUCCGGCCGCACGCUGCGGGUAACGGCAGACCGGCGGUCGAGCGUGGCCGUGCUGGCGCAGCGCGUGGUUCAGUACCUGAAAUUGCGAGGAGCACAGGUGCAGCUGAAGUACGCCCAGACUGGCCUUGUAUUCGACGCGGGGACAUCGGACAUCAGCGGUGUCGAGACCUCUUCUGCGACGGCGAACAUGCGACUCUGUGACCUCCCGGAGUUUCAAUCUUCCGACGUGUUUAUUGUGCUCCUCCGGGCACAGCGGGGCGAGCCAUCACCGUUGGCGCUCUUACCGCCUCGACUGUCGGCGGCCGGGUGGCUAGCGGGCCGUUCCCCUUCUCCUAGGCCCUCGUCGGCGCCGUUUCCAGUGCGCCUGUCUCGCCGUCUCCAGUGCGCCUGUCUCGCCGUCAUGCCACCGCAGCGAAACGCGCACGCCAAGGCGCGCUGGCGCCGUCGCUGCCGGCCCUCACCAUCGCAGAGUCACCGCCCCCUCUGGUCAGUGGGCAUAGAGCUCGUGGUCUAUGUGGCGCUGCUUCUGUGCCGCCGCUGAAGCCUGAGCCGGCGUCUCUGGUCGAAGCAGCUCUGGCACCCGCUGUGCCCGGCUCAUCACACCCUCGCGCGGUGGUGCAUCUUCCGUCUUACACCCGAGAGAGGGGAAGCACAGGCGCCAUGACACCGGGAUGUGCUAGUUGAUGGCACAGCCGAUGUCCGUCGUGUCGCAGGCGCUGACAACCGCGCCUGCUGGGCGCGGGGUUGUGGUCUGUCAGCCAGGCGGCCGCGCAGCCUGCUGUUAGCACGUUUGCGGCGAACGACCCGGUGUGCGAGAAGGUGGGGCGCACGUCCGCUAGUUCCUAUGACUGCUUCCUCCCCCUCUUGGACAGAUCACGAGCACGCCGCAUGUAGCGCAGCAGCAUUCGCCGAAGUCGGAAAUGUGGCUGUGCGGCACCGCCGUUUUCUUUGUUCUUGUUGCGGUUUGGGGGAGCAGAGGCGUCCGUGAACGUCACGAUGCGUUCCUGCCUUGCCCGUUGUCUUCUUUUUUUUUUGAAAGAGGGGGCUACUUGUUGUGGCUACUGCUGCUUUUCUGUCCCGCUUGCCUCUCCACUCUCUGUUCUUCUUUCUUGUCUUUUUUUUUGCCGGGGAUGAGGGGUUGGGGUAGCUGGCAGGGAAAGGGACGUUGUUUCGCCGACUCUCACUUCUGGAGCGCUCGAGGUGUACCGUGGAGAAGGUGUCGCACAAGCCCCUCCCCACCCGUCUCUCUCUCCGUCUGUGGAUGCGUGUGUGUGUGUUCCUCCCGAUGCGUUUUCAU